UGCUGUCAGGAGGCUGACCUGGACCAUGCCAUGCGUGGUGAAGCAUGUUUAACAAAUGUUCGCACAUUUGUGUGUCGCGGAACAGCGGCUGGGAAUCACUGGACUCGGCCUCUCUGGCUUUUCGUCUGAGAUUUACAGCUUGACCAUUUAUUUACUGAUAAACACUACUUCACCUAAGAGACUUGAGUAUCCAGUUCUUCAUUGACCUUCAGCAUUCAGUUGUUUGUCUUCACCUUUUCAGGUAAGCAAUUUAAAAAAAAUGCUUCUGUAAUGUUGAGAAACACUGAAAUUAUUAUUUAUAAAGAACUUUCAACCACU
Centropristis striata (black sea bass) is the source of this 318-nucleotide long non-coding RNA. RefSeq lists it as uncharacterized. The transcript is spliced from 3 exons. NCBI's taxonomy places the organism in Eukaryota, Metazoa, Chordata, Actinopteri, Perciformes, Serranidae. The record is from RefSeq and is a predicted model, not a curated record.